RNAcentral lists this transfer RNA (69 nucleotides) under bovine gut metagenome. It matches the Rfam family "tRNA". Rfam says of the family: Transfer RNA (tRNA) molecules are approximately 80 nucleotides in length. Their secondary structure includes four short double-helical elements and three loops (D, anti-codon, and T loops). The record is from RNAcentral.
UAAGGUAGCCAAGCGGUUCAAGGCCUCGGUCUGCAAAAUCGUUGUUCGUGGGUUCGAAUCCCACCCUUA